Molecule: ribosomal RNA, 469 nt
Filed under: uncultured bacterium
Lineage: Bacteria
Description: bacterial SSU rRNA
Rfam family: Bacterial small subunit ribosomal RNA
Source: RNAcentral
GAGUUUGAUCCUGGCUCAGGACGAACGCUGGCGGCGUGCUUAACACAUGCAAGUCGAACGGAAAGGCCGGGUGCUUGCACCUGGUACUCGAGUGGCGAACGGGUGAGUAACACGUGGGUGAUCUGCCCUGCACUUCGGGAUAAGCCUGGGAAACUGGGUCUAAUACCGGAUAGGACCAUUGGUUGGUACUGGUGGUGGAAAGUUUUUCGGUGCAGGAUGAGCUCGCGGCCUAUCAGCUUGUUGGUGGGGUAAUGGCCUACCAAGGCGGCGACGGGUAGCCGGCCUGAGAGGGUGGACGGCCACAUUGGGACUGAGACACGGCCCAGACUCCUACGGGAGGCAGCAGUGGGGAAUAUUGCACAAUGGGCGCAAGCCUGAUGCAGCGACGCCGCGUGGGGGAUGACGGCCUUCGGGUUGUAAACUCCUUUCAACCAUGACGAAGCUUUGUGACGGUAGUGAGAAGAUGGCC